This is a long non-coding RNA of Nymphaea colorata (pocket water lily), 689 nucleotides long. RefSeq lists it as uncharacterized. The record is from RefSeq and is a predicted model, not a curated record. The transcript is spliced from 3 exons. Lineage: Eukaryota; Viridiplantae; Streptophyta; Magnoliopsida; Nymphaeales; Nymphaeaceae.
GCCACUGGACGUAUCCACUCGACAGCCAGAAACCUUCCAUCUCAAGCGAAAGUUCCCACUCUGCAGGAGGGUGUCUCUAUUCAUGCAAUAAGUUUUCAAGCUCUUCGUCACCUUCCUUCGAUGAUCUUUUUCCUUAAUUUUUGAUCUUAUUCCUCUAAUUUCUACCUUUCCCCAUCUUCGCACAUCGUCUUACAGAAAAUGCAGCAAUCACAGCCCAUUAGUGUGUGGCUCCAUAUGCUGUGGUUUCUGCAUGUACAUGACCAAAUCAGCACUCCAUUUCCCACACCGUUGUUCAAGUCUCUUCAUUCGCCACAGAGAGAGAAACCAUUGAUGAUGCAGUUGGCUGUUGUAGCUUGUCUCUCUUUGGCUGCAAAAUUGGAAGAAACACGUCCCACUUCUUCUUGACCUACAGGUGGAGGAGGCCCAGUAUGUGGUUGAGGCCAAGACCAUUCAGAGAAUGGAGCUCCUGGUUCUACCAGCAGUAGAGUGGAAAAUGCACCAUGUAACACUUAUCUCCUUCAUUAAUCAUGGCUGAGGAUACAUCAACAUUGGAAGCUCUUUAGAAGAUGCGAAUGACUACUCCUUUCUUUGAACACAGGUGCUCUUGGAAUGGUAGUGAGCAGUGGAAACUGAUCUACAAGGAGGCGCUAGUUAUUAAUAUGAGGUACAUUCAUUCAUUUGCCUUUCAG